RNAcentral lists this ribosomal RNA (324 nucleotides) under uncultured bacterium. RNAcentral describes it as "bacterial SSU rRNA". It matches the Rfam family "Bacterial small subunit ribosomal RNA", at positions 18 to 344 of the family's 1533-position model. The record is from RNAcentral.
CAUGGCUCAGAUUGAACGCUGGCGGCAUGCUUUACACAUGCAAGUCGAACGGCAGCGCGGGCUUCGGCCUGGCGGCGAGUGGCGAACGGGUGAGUAAUACAUCGGAACGUGCCCAGUAGUGGGGGAUAGCUCGGCGAAAGCCGGAUUAAUACCGCAUACGACCUGAGGGUGAAAGCGGGGGAUCUUCGGACCUCGCGCUAUUGGAGCGGCCGAUGGCAGAUUAGCUAGUUGGUGGGGUAAAGGCCUACCAAGGCGACGAUCUGUAGCUGGUCUGAGAGGACGACCAGCCACACUGGGACUGAGACACGGCCCAGACUCCUACGG